UAAGCGAAAGUGAUAAGUAUCCCACCUGGGGAGUACGCACGCAAGUGUGAAACUCAAAGGAAUUGACGGGGGCCCGCACAAGCGGAGGAGCAUGUGGUUUAAUUCGAUGAUACGCGAGGAACCUUACCAGGGCUUAAAUGGGAGACGACAGUUUGGGAAACCAGAUUUUCUUCGGACGUCUUUCAAGGUGCUGCAUGGUUGUCGUCAGCUCGUGCCGUGAGGUGUCAGGUUAAGUCCUAUAACGAGCGCAACCCCUAUUGUUAGUUGCCAGCGGGUCAUGCCGGGAACUCUAACAAGACUGCCGGUGCAAACCGUGAGGAAGGUGGGGAUGACGUCAAAUCAUCACGGCCCUUACGUCCUGGGCUACACACGUGCUACAAUGGGCGGUACAGAGAGCAGCCACUGCGCAAGCAGGAGCGAAUCUUCAAAGCCGUUCUCAGUUCGGAUCGGAGUCUGCAACUCGACUCCGUGAAGCUGGAUUCGCUAGUAAUCGCAUAUCAGCCAUGAUGCGGUGAAUACGUUCCCGGGCCUUGUACACACCGCCCGUCAAGCCA
RNAcentral lists this ribosomal RNA (554 nucleotides) under Flavobacterium sp. s26sy. RNAcentral describes it as "bacterial SSU rRNA". It matches the Rfam family "Bacterial small subunit ribosomal RNA", at positions 848 to 1404 of the family's 1533-position model. The record is from RNAcentral. Lineage: Bacteria; Pseudomonadati; Bacteroidota; Flavobacteriia; Flavobacteriales; Flavobacteriaceae.